This 787-nucleotide unclassified non-coding RNA is filed under the name uncultured Tomentella. RNAcentral's name for it is "sequence contains ITS1, 5.8S rRNA gene and ITS2". The stretch from base 246 to 400 matches the Rfam family "5.8S ribosomal RNA". The record is from RNAcentral. Lineage: Eukaryota; Fungi; Basidiomycota; Agaricomycetes; Thelephorales; Thelephoraceae.
AAGUCGUAACAAGGUUUCCGUAGGUGAACCUGCGGAAGGAUCAUUACUGAAUUGUCAACAAGAGUUGUUGCUGGUCCUCAAGCGGGGGCAUGUGCACGCUCUGUUAACACAUCCACUCACACCCUGUGCACCCUCUGUAGUUCUGUGGUUGGGGGCCUUGUCCUCCUGCUGUGGUUCUGCAUCUUUUACACACACACUGUAACAAAGUCUCAUGGAAUGCAUCUGCGUUUAACGCAAUACAAUACAACUUUCAGCAACGGAUCUCUUGGCUCUCGCAUCGAUGAAGAACGCAGCGAAAUGCGAUAAGUAAUGUGAAUUGCAGAAUUCAGUGAAUCAUCGAAUCUUUGAACGCACCUUGCGCCCUUUGGCCAUUCCGAAGGGCAUGCCUGUUUGAGUAUCAUGAACACCUCAACUCUUCAUGGUUUUCCGUGAUGAGCUUGGACUUUGGGGGUUUUGCUGGCCUGUGGUCGGCUCCUCUAAAAUGAAUCAGCUUGCCAGUGUUUGGUGGGCAUCACAGGUGCGAUAACUAUCUACGCUUGUGGUUUUCCACCAGGGUAACCUUCGGCAGUGGAGGUUCGCUGGAGCUCAUAGAUGUCUCUCCUCAGUGAGGACGGCCCUUUGAAUGUUUGAUCUCAAAUCAGGUAGGACUACCCGCUGAACUUAAGCAUAUCAAUAAGCGGAGGAAAAGAAACUAACAAGGAUUCCCCUAGUAACUGCGAGUGAAGCGGGAAGAGCUCAAAUUUAAAAUCUGGCGUGCCUCUGGUCGUCCGAGUUGUAGUCUGGAGAA